GAUGAACGCUGGCGGCGUGCCUAACACAUGCAAGUCGAGCGAACAGAUAAGGAGCUUGCGCCGUGGACGUUAGCGGCGGACGGGUGAGUAACACGAGGAUAACCUACCUAUAAGACGGGGAUAACUUCGGAAAACCGGAGCUAAUACCGGAGAACAUAUUGAACCGCGGGGUUCAAUAGAGAAAGUCGGCGGUGCGGGAUCUUAUAGAUGGAUCCGCGCCGGAUUAGCUGGUUGGUAAGGUAACGGCUUACCAAGGCAACGAUACGUAUACGACCGGAGAGGCUGAUCGCCCACCCUGGAACUUAGACGCGGUCCAGACUCCUGCGGGACGCAGCAGUAGCGAAUCUUCCGCAAUGGGCGAAAGCCUGACGCAGCGACGCCGCGUGAGUUAUGAAGGUCUUCCGAUCGUAAUGCUCUGUUAUCAGUGAAGAACCGCUUUGUACGUAACUGUGCCCAUCUUGACGGUACCUGAUCAGAAAGCCCCGGCUAACUACGUG
RNAcentral lists this ribosomal RNA (497 nucleotides) under uncultured bacterium. RNAcentral describes it as "partial 16S ribosomal RNA". It matches the Rfam family "Bacterial small subunit ribosomal RNA", at positions 28 to 507 of the family's 1533-position model. The record is from RNAcentral.